UACGUAGGGUGCGAGCGUUGUCCGGAUUUAUUGGGCGUAAAGAGCUCGUAGGCGGCUCGUUGCGUCGGCUGUGAAAACCCGCAGCUCAACUGUGGGCUUGCAGCUGAUACGGGCGGGCUGGGAUUCGGUAGGGGAGACUGGAAUUCCUGGUGUAGCGGUGAAAUGCGCAGAUAUCAGGAGGAACACCGGUGGCGAAGGCGGGUCUCUGGGCCGAUACUGACGCUGAGGAGCGAAAGCGUGGGGAGCGAACAGG
This 253-nucleotide ribosomal RNA is filed under the name uncultured bacterium. RNAcentral describes it as "partial 16S ribosomal RNA". It matches the Rfam family "Bacterial small subunit ribosomal RNA", at positions 524 to 776 of the family's 1533-position model. The record is from RNAcentral.